CCUACGGGGGGCAGCAGUGGGGAAUAUUGCACAAUGGGGGGAACCCUGAUGCAGCGACGCCGCGUGAGUGAAGAAGUAUUUCGGUAUGUAAAGCUCUAUCAGCAGGGAAGAAAAUGACGGUACCUGACUAAGAAGCCCCGGCUAACUACGUGCCAGCAGCCGCGGUAAUACGUAGGGGGCAAGCGUUAUCCGGAUUUACUGGGUGUAAAGGGAGCGCAGACGGCUGUGCAAGUCUGGAGUGAAAGGCGGGGGCCCAACCCCCGGACUGCUCUGGAAACUGUAAAGCUGGAGUGCAGGAGAGGUAAGCGGAAUUCCUAGGGUAGCGGUGAAAUGCGGAGAUAUUAGGAGGAACACCAGUGGCGAAGGCGGCUUACUGGACGACAACUGACGGGGAGGCGCGAAAGCGUGGGGAGCAAACAGGAUUAGAUACCCUAGUAGUC
Molecule: ribosomal RNA, 440 nt
Filed under: uncultured bacterium
Lineage: Bacteria
Description: partial 16S ribosomal RNA
Rfam family: Bacterial small subunit ribosomal RNA
Source: RNAcentral